RNAcentral lists this long non-coding RNA (2281 nucleotides) under Bemisia tabaci. RNAcentral describes it as "lncRNA ENSSSA3NGG010959". The record is from RNAcentral. Lineage: Eukaryota; Metazoa; Arthropoda; Insecta; Hemiptera; Aleyrodidae.
GGUGUUGUUACUGUGAUGGAUAACUGGUUUGGAAAAGGGAAGAAAGGUUUUAUUUUUGGCGUAUGGAAUUCUCACACAUCUGUCGGUAACAUUGUUGGGACUCUGAUAGCUAGUCGUUUUGUCGAAAAAACUGGGGACUAUCAUUCAUAGCUCCUGGUGCCUUGAUCGCUAUUGGAGGGGUCUUGGUAUUCCUGUUUCUCAUCCCGGAACCCAAGAUACUGGAUGUAAUAUUCCAACUUCUCCCAUUACCAGGAAGAAUCUCCAACCACAGGUAUUCAUCCCGAUUUUAUCUUAAAAAUAAUAAUUCAGUCAUUCGUUUUUCUUCUUGUCAUCUACAUUUUAAGUGAAGAAAAGCAGUGCAACAAGUCUUGUUAUACUCGUAGAGAAGGUAAUUAUAUAUCCCCCCCCCCACUUCAAGCUUUGCACGUUUCAAUUUCAAUUAAUCCUUCCUGUUCAUGAAGGGCUGUCUGUGACAAUAUUAAAAACUGAAUUUAAUUUUCUUUUUUCUUUUUUUUUGACAGUAAUUUGUUUUAAAUAAAAAAUCCGAUUUUUGGGCUGCGAGAUUAAAAAAAAAUUUCUGGAAAGAACAAAUUUUUGAUCAUUAAAAAAGAAAACUCCCCAAAGCAAAAAUAUUCGAGUAAUGAACACAUAUCAAGAACAAUUCUUGAGAAAAAAAUGUCAGAAAAAAAAAUUUUUCAACUUGUAAUAUCGACGCAGACGACUUUCCAUACCCACUGAUUCCUCCCUAAGAAGGUUCUUUUUCCAACUUUUUUUGAAUUUCAAGGUAAGGUGGAAGAAACUUUUCUUCUGGAGAUACUUUAUUCAAUUUACAAUUUUCUUUUAAAUUUAAUGUUUGGGCUUCUUUACAUGACUUUUUCUGAAAUAGCAACUUUCCAUUGCUGAUAAAACUUCAAGAAAAACAACAUUAGGAAAAUCAGGAAACUCUAAAAGAGCCGUUUGUGCUGUUACUUGGUGCGAAAAGUUUAUGUAAAAAAUAAACAAGGUUUUUUAGUUAGUUGAGGCAACAAUUUCGGAAAUUUCAAAUGGUUUUCCAUGGAAUGGUGUUACUUGGUGCGAAAAGUUUAUGUAAAAAAUAAACAAGGUUUUUUAGCUAGUUGAGGCACCAAUUUCAGAAAUUUCAAAUGGUUUUCCAUGGAAUGGCUCGCCCACUUUGCUUUCUAUCUCGAACUUUGUAGCAGUGCUAUCGUUAGGCUUAAUGAAUUUCCAUGCUCUGGUGCCUCUUUGUGCAUUAGCCAACUAUGGUCAUAAUGGUUUUUAGAAGGAUCAGGCUCAAGCCUAGAGGGACUCCUUGAGAAGCCAUAAAGCUAUUGAUUUUGCCAGGCGCCUGAUGGGAGAAUUAUUAUUAGUUAUUAAGAACAUACAUGGAUAGACCUACAUGGAUAGACAUACAUGGAGGAUAAAGUGCUCGACAAGGCAACAUCUGUGUAAAGUAUUGUCUCUGAUAAAUCUUCAAUGCCGUCACAGUACAGUGGCGCGGUUCAACCGCACGUAGUCAAGAAUCUAUUACAGGUGACAUCCAUUAGCCAGGGGCUACACCAGUGGCCAUUCCUCAACCAUUAGAGCUUCAACUGCACCUGUAUUCAGACCAUUAUUUUUAAUGGUUGGCCUUUAAAAUUUAAAAAAAAAAAACUAAAAAGAGUAUGGAUGGAAAGCUUCACGAUUUUAAAGGAUAAUAUGGACACUAAGCUCGAAUUUUGAGAAAAUCAGACAUUUAACUCUCUUUAAAAAGCUAAAGUGCACUCUUACCCACCUUGAAAUUUUGAAAAAAGUUGAAAAAUGCAAGAAGAGAGGAGAGGCGUGUAAUUGUUUCCAAAAUUUGCUUUUCUUCCGUAUUUUAUUAAGUUGAAGAGGAUCUCUGAAGGAGAAUGCCAAGGAAAACCCUUUAGAAAUAACUGCACCUUUCUUGUUCAUGUCUAAAUGGAUAGAAUCAACAAUUUUUAAUAUCAGUAUAACAACUAUUGUGGCUAGAGUUUACAGUUUUUCUGCAUGAUAUCAGCUGAAAUUAUCGCUUUUUGAAACACUAACGAAUGGAUUUAUUUUCGGGAGCAAAAUGAUCCCAGGAUGUUUGUUAAUUAAUGUCAUUUUAUUCGUGUGUACGUUUUCAGACUUUUAAGGGAUUCAAUGAGUUGGUGUUGUGAGAAAUUUUGUUUUCAAGACAAGGUAGGGCUUGAUUGAUGUUUGUAUUUUUCCGUGACAUCUUCCCAAACUCUCUUGUUCAAGACUGAGUAAUUAAAUGUUAGCCAAUGGGCUUCUUCACGGA